Molecule: small nuclear RNA, 103 nt
Organism: Camelus dromedarius (Arabian camel)
Lineage: Eukaryota; Metazoa; Chordata; Mammalia; Artiodactyla; Camelidae
Source: Ensembl
GUACUCGCUUUGGCAGCACGUAUACUGAAAUUGGAAUGAUAGAAGAUUAGCAUGGCCCUUGUGCAAGGAUGACAUGCAAAUUUGUGCAGCAUUCCAUAUUUUG